AUUGAACGCUGGCGGCAUGCCUUACACAUGCAAGUCGAACGGUAACAGGUCUUCGGAUGCUGACGAGUGGCGAACGGGUGAGUAAUACGUCGGAACGUGCCUAGUAGUGGGGGAUAACUACUCGAAAGAGUGGCUAAUACCGCAUGAGAGCUACGGAUGAAAGCAGGGGAUCGCAAGACCUUGUGCUACUAGAGCGGCCGAUGGCAGAUUAGGUAGUUGGUGGGAUAAAAGCUUACCAAGCCGACGAUCUGUAGCUGGUCUGAGAGGACGAUCAGCCACACUGGGACUGAGAAACGGCCCAGACUCCUACGGGAGGCAGCAGUGGGGAAUUUUGGACAAUGGGCGCAAGCCUGAUCCAGCAAUGCCGCGUGCAGGAUGAAGGCCUUCGGGUUGUAAACUGCUUUUGUACGGAACGAAAAGCCCCGGGUUAAUACCCUGGGGUCAUGACGGUACCGUAAGAAUAAGCACCGGCUAACUACGUGCCAGCAGCAGCCGCCG
RNAcentral lists this ribosomal RNA (498 nucleotides) under uncultured bacterium. Its description in RNAcentral is "partial 16S ribosomal RNA". It matches the Rfam family "Bacterial small subunit ribosomal RNA", at positions 30 to 523 of the family's 1533-position model. The record is from RNAcentral.